AGGGUUUGAUUCUGGCUCAGGAUGAACGCUAGCGACAGGCUUAACACAUGCAAGUCGAGGGGCAGCACGGUGUAGCAAUACACUGGUGGCGACCGGCGCACGGGUGAGUAACACGUGUGCAACCAACCCCGUACCGGGAGAUAACCCGCGGAAACGUGGACUAACAUCCCAUGAUACUCGAGGGCCGCAUGGCUCUCGAUUUAAAAUUCCGGUGGUACGGGACGGGCACGCGCGACAUUAGGUAGUUGGCGGGGUAAUGGCCCACCAAGCCGACGAUGUCUAGGGGUUCUGAGAGGAAGGUCCCCCACACUGGAACUGAGACACGGUCCAG
RNAcentral lists this ribosomal RNA (331 nucleotides) under uncultured bacterium. RNAcentral's name for it is "bacterial SSU rRNA". It matches the Rfam family "Bacterial small subunit ribosomal RNA", at positions 8 to 334 of the family's 1533-position model. The record is from RNAcentral.